AGGAGAGUCUGUCGUCCUCUCGUUGUCGGCGAGUGGCGGACGGGUGAGUAAUAUAUCGGANNGUGCCCAGUAUCGGGGGAUAACUACUCGAAAGAGUGGCUAAUACCACGGACGCCCUACGGGGGAAAGGGGGGGAUCGCAGGACCUCUCACUAUUGGAGCGGCCGAUAUCGGAUUAGCUAGUUGGUGGGGUAAAGGCUCACCACGGCAACGAUCCAUAGCUGGUUUGAGAGGACGACCAGCCACACUGGGACUGAGACACGGCCCAGACUCCUACGGCAGGCAGCAGUGGGGAAUUUUGGACCAUGGGGGAAACCCUGAUCCAGCCAUCCCGCGUGUAUGAUGAAUGCCUUCGGGUUGUAGAGUACUUUUGGCAGAUGAAGAAGAGGUAUCCCCUAAUACUGGAUACUGCUGACGGUAUCUGCAGAAUAAGCACCGGCUAACUACGUGCCAGCAGCCGCGGUAAUACGUAAGGUGCAAGCGUUAAUCGGAAUUACUGGGCGUAGAGCGUGUGUAGGCGGUUCGGAANUAAAGAUGUGAAAUCCCAGGGCUCAACCUUGGAACUGCAUUUUUAACUGCCGAGCUAGAGUAUGUCAGAGGGGRGUAGAAUUCCACGUGUAGCAGUGAAAUGCGUAGAURUGUGGAGGAAUACCGAWGGCGAAKGCAGCCCCCUGGGAUAAUACUGACGMUCAGACACGAAAGCRUGRGGAGCAAACAGGAUUAGAUAYCSUGSUAGUCCACGCCSUAAACGAUGUCAACUAGCUGUKGRKGCCGUUAGGCSUUASUASCGCAKCUMACGCGUCAAGUUGACCGCGUAGGGAGUACGCUCGCAAGAUUAUAAAUCAAAGGAAUUGACGGGGACCCGCACAAGCGAUCGAUGAUGUGGAUUAGUUGGAUGCAGCGCGACAAACCUUACUUACCCNNNACUUGUCCGGUAAGCCGAAGAGAUUUUGCCGUGCUCGCAAGAGAACCCGAACACAGCUNCUGCAUGGUCGUCGUCAGUUCGUAUCGUGAGAUGUAGGUUUAAGUCCCGCAACGAGCGCAACCCUUAUCAUUAGGCGUUAAGCAAGACCAUUUUAAUGAGACUGCCGGUNCCAAACCGGAGGAAGGUGGGGAUGACGUCAAGUCUUCAUGGCCUUUAUGCGUAGGGCUUCACACGUCAUCCAAUGGUCGGGACAGAGGGUCGCCAACCCGCGAGGUGGAGCCAUUCUCAGAAACCCGAUUGUAGUCCGGAUNNCNNUCUGCAAUUGGAUUGCGNNAAGUCGGAAUCGUUAGUAAUCGCGGAUCACAAUGUCGCGGNNAAUACGUUCCCGGCUCUGGUACACACCGCCGGUCACACCAUGGGAGUGGGUUUCACCCAGAAAGGUCAGGUGAGCGCU
This 1378-nucleotide ribosomal RNA is filed under the name Alcaligenes faecalis. RNAcentral describes it as "partial 16S ribosomal RNA". It matches the Rfam family "Bacterial small subunit ribosomal RNA", at positions 72 to 1442 of the family's 1533-position model. Lineage: Bacteria; Pseudomonadati; Pseudomonadota; Betaproteobacteria; Burkholderiales; Alcaligenaceae. The record is from RNAcentral.